This 429-nucleotide ribosomal RNA is filed under the name Actinomycetes bacterium. RNAcentral describes it as "Actinobacteria bacterium partial 16S ribosomal RNA". It matches the Rfam family "Bacterial small subunit ribosomal RNA", at positions 355 to 776 of the family's 1533-position model. Lineage: Bacteria; Bacillati; Actinomycetota; Actinomycetes. The record is from RNAcentral.
UAGGGAAUCUUCCGCAAUGGGCGAAAGCCUGACGGAGCAACGCCGCGUGAGUGAUGAAGGUCUUCGGAUCGUAAAACUCUGUUAUUAGGGAAGAACAAAUGUGUAAGUAACUAUGCACGUCUUGACGGUACCUAAUCAGAAAGCCACGGCUAACUACGUGCCAGCAGCCGCGGUAAUACGUAGGUGGCAAGCGUUAUCCGGAAUUAUUGGGCGUAAAGCGCGCGUAGGCGGUUUUUUAAGUCUGAUGUGAAAGCCCACGGCUCAACCGUGGAGGGUAAUUGGAAACUGGAAAACUUGAGUGCAGAAGAGGAAAGUGGAAUUCCAUGUGUAGAGGUGAAAUGCGCAGAGAUAUGGAGGAACACAAGUGGCGAAGGCGACUGUCUGGUCUCUAACUGACGCUGAUAUGCGAAAGCGUGGGGAUCAAACAGG